RNAcentral lists this non-coding RNA (438 nucleotides) under Pan troglodytes (chimpanzee). The record is from RNAcentral. Lineage: Eukaryota; Metazoa; Chordata; Mammalia; Primates; Hominidae.
AUGAGGUGCUUGCUAUGUUGCCUAGGCUGGUCUUGAACUUCUGGCCUCAAGAAAUCCUCCUCCUGAUCCUCCUGCCUCAGCCUCCCAAAGUGUUGGGAUUACAGCACUGGCUAGAACUUCCAUCCCUGUGGUGAAUAAGAGUGAUGAAAGUGGACACCAUCGUAUUAUUGAAUUGAAGGGACACCUCUGAAAACGUGUUUAGAGAGAGAGUGAAGAAUGAGGGUGUACCUGGUGGAGCCACCAUCCUCUGCCACUUCUGAAACAAGCAGGUCUUCAGGCAGUCUCGGGGACUGAGGUUGUAAGUUUUAUGUCUCGACAUCAGUUCCUGCAUUGGCUCCAAUAUUACACACAACUGCAAGAAGUUCAAAGACAUUGGCAUUUCACUACUUUAUAACACUAAUAAUUACAAUAAAUAAUGCUAACAGCUGGAAUCAAGUA